Molecule: ribosomal RNA, 253 nt
Filed under: uncultured bacterium
Lineage: Bacteria
Description: partial 16S ribosomal RNA
Rfam family: Bacterial small subunit ribosomal RNA
Source: RNAcentral
UACGGAAGGGGCAAGCGUUGUUCGGAAUCAUUGGGCGUAAAGGGCGCGUAGGUGGUUCUGUAUGCCUAUCGUGAAAGCGUACGGCUCAACCGUAUUUUGUCGGUAGAAACUGCAGGACUUGAGGCUGGGAGGGGCUGGUGGAAUUCCCUGUGUAGCGGUGAAAUGCGUAGAGAUGGGGGAGAACACUCGUGGCGAAGGCGGCCAGCUAGACCAGUUCUGACACUGAGGCGCGACAGCGUGGGGAGCAAACAGG